RNAcentral lists this ribosomal RNA (253 nucleotides) under uncultured bacterium. Its description in RNAcentral is "partial 16S ribosomal RNA". It matches the Rfam family "Bacterial small subunit ribosomal RNA", at positions 524 to 776 of the family's 1533-position model. The record is from RNAcentral.
UACGAAGGGGGCUAGCGUUGUUCGGAAUUACUGGGCGUAAAGGGUGCGUAGGCGGGUUUUUAAGUCAGGGGUGAAAUCCUGGAGCUCAACUCCAGAACUGCCUUUGAUACUGAAGAUCUUGAGUUCGGGAGAGGUGAGUGGAACUGCGAGUGUAGAGGUGAAAUUCGUAGAUAUUCGCAAGAACACCAGUGGCGAAGGCGGCUCACUGGCCCGAUACUGACGCUGAGGCACGAAAGCGUGGGGAGCAAACAGG